GCGGGUGUAGCUCAAAGGCAGAGCCCCAGCCUUCCAAGCUGGUUAUGGGGGUUCGAUUCCCCUCACCCGCUCCC
RNAcentral lists this transfer RNA (74 nucleotides) under Actinomycetes bacterium. RNAcentral's name for it is "Actinobacteria bacterium tRNA-Gly". It matches the Rfam family "tRNA". From Rfam's summary of the family: Transfer RNA (tRNA) molecules are approximately 80 nucleotides in length. The record is from RNAcentral. Lineage: Bacteria; Bacillati; Actinomycetota; Actinomycetes.